GAUGAACGCUAGCGAUAGGCCUAACACAUGCAAGUCGAGGGGCAGCACAAGGUAGCUUGCUAUCUGGGUGGCGACCGGCGCACGGGUGCGUAACGCGUAUGCAACUUGCCCUAUACAGGAGGAUAACCCGUCGAAAGACGGACUAAUACUGCGUAUGCUCACAACUUGGCAUCAAGUGGUGAGGAAAGAAAUUCGGUAUAGGAUAGGCAUGCGUCCCAUUAGCUUGUUGGUGAGGUAACGGCUCACCAAGGCAACGAUGGGUAGGGGAACUGAGAGGUUUAUCCCCCACACUGGUACUGAGACACGGACCAGACUCCUACGGGAGGCAGCAGUGAGGAAUAUUGGUCAAUGGGCGCGAGCCUGAACCAGCCAAGUCGCGUGAAGGAUGACUGUCUUAUGGAUUGUAAACUUCUUUUAUACGGGAAUAACAAGAGUCACGGGUGACUCCCUGCAUGUACCGUAUGAAUAAGCAUCGGCUAACUCCGUG
This 487-nucleotide ribosomal RNA is filed under the name uncultured bacterium. RNAcentral's name for it is "partial 16S ribosomal RNA". It matches the Rfam family "Bacterial small subunit ribosomal RNA", at positions 28 to 507 of the family's 1533-position model. The record is from RNAcentral.